RNAcentral lists this ribosomal RNA (253 nucleotides) under uncultured bacterium. RNAcentral describes it as "partial 16S ribosomal RNA". It matches the Rfam family "Bacterial small subunit ribosomal RNA", at positions 524 to 776 of the family's 1533-position model. The record is from RNAcentral.
UACAGAGGGUGCUAGCGUUGUUCGGAAUCAUUGGGCGUAAAGGGCGUGUAGGCGGUUUGUUAAGUCAUGUGUGAAAUCCCUCGGCUCAACCGGGGAAGGACGCAUGAAACUGGCAAGCUAGAGUACCAAAGAGGGGGGUGGAACUCCCGGUGUAGCGGUGAAAUGCGCAGAUAUCGGGAGGAACACCAAUGGCGAAGGCAGCUCGCUGGGACGGUACUGACGCUGAGACGCGAAAGCGUGGGGAGCAAACAGG